This is a non-coding RNA of Operophtera brumata (winter moth), 46 nucleotides long. NCBI's taxonomy places the organism in Eukaryota, Metazoa, Arthropoda, Insecta, Lepidoptera, Geometridae. The record is from Rfam.
CACUAGGCCCUUUUCAGGGCCACCAAACCUCAAGUUGGUCUCUGAU